GCGUGAGUAGGUUAGCGGUUAGACUAGGACGUUGCCAACGUUCUGACCCGGGUUCGAUUCCCGGCUCGCGCA
RNAcentral lists this transfer RNA (72 nucleotides) under Nanobdellota archaeon. RNAcentral's name for it is "tRNA-Gly". It matches the Rfam family "tRNA". From Rfam's summary of the family: Transfer RNA (tRNA) molecules are approximately 80 nucleotides in length. The record is from RNAcentral. Lineage: Archaea; Nanobdellati; Nanobdellota.